This 238-nucleotide ribosomal RNA is filed under the name Clostridioides difficile. RNAcentral describes it as "partial 23S ribosomal RNA". It matches the Rfam family "Bacterial large subunit ribosomal RNA", at positions 2487 to 2724 of the family's 2925-position model. Lineage: Bacteria; Bacillati; Bacillota; Clostridia; Peptostreptococcales; Peptostreptococcaceae. The record is from RNAcentral.
CUCCCCCAAGAGUCCACAUCGACGGGGAGGUUUGGCACCUCGAUGUCGGCUCAUCACAUCCUGGGGCUGUAGUAGGUCCCAAGGGUUGGGCUGUUCGCCCAUUAAAGUGGUACGCGAGCUGGGUUAAGAACGUCGUGAGACAGUUCGGUCCCUAUCCGUCGCAGGCGUAGGAAAUUUGAGAAGACCUGUCCUUAGUACGAGAGGACCGGGAUGGACGUACCUCUGGUGUACCAGUUGU